This 497-nucleotide ribosomal RNA is filed under the name uncultured bacterium. RNAcentral's name for it is "partial 16S ribosomal RNA". It matches the Rfam family "Bacterial small subunit ribosomal RNA", at positions 28 to 507 of the family's 1533-position model. The record is from RNAcentral.
GAUGAACGCUGGCGGCGUGCCUAAUACAUGCAAGUCGAGCGAACAGACGAGGAGCUUGCUCCUCUGACGUUAGCGGCGGACGGGUGAGUAACACGUGGAUAACCUACCUAUAAGACUGGGAUAACUUCGGGAAACCGGAGCUAAUACCGGAUAAUAUAUUGAACCGCAUGGUUCAAUAGUGAAAGACGGUUUUGCUGUCACUUAUAGAUGGAUCCGCGCCGCAUUAGCUAGUUGGUAAGGUAACGGCUUACCAAGGCAACGAUGCGUAGCCGACCUGUGAGGGUGAUCGACCACACUAGAACUGAGACACGGUCCAGACUCCUACGGGUGGCAGCAGUAGGGAAUCGUCCGCAAUGGGCGCAAGCCUGACGGAGCAACGCCGCGUGAGUGAUGAAGGUCUUCGGAUCGUAAAACUCUGUUAUUAGGGAAGAACAAAUUUGUAAGUAACUAUGCACGUCUUGACGGUACCUAAUCAGAAAGCCACGGCUAACUACGUG